Molecule: ribosomal RNA, 494 nt
Filed under: uncultured bacterium
Lineage: Bacteria
Description: partial 16S ribosomal RNA
Rfam family: Bacterial small subunit ribosomal RNA
Source: RNAcentral
GACGAACGCUGGCGGCGUGCUUAACACAUGCAAGUCGAACGGUGAAGCGCCUUCCUUUUUGGUGGGUGUGGAUGAGUGGCGAACGGGUGAGUAACACGUGAGUAACCUGCCCCCUUCUUCUGGAUAACCGCAUGAAAGUGUGGCUAAUACGGGAUAUUCUGGGUCUGUCGCAUGAUGGGUCUGGGAAAGAUAUUGUUUCGGUGGGGGAUGGGCUCGCGGCCUAUCAGCUUGUUGGUGGGGUGAUGGCCUACCAAGGCGGUGACGGGUAGCCGGCCUGAGAGGGUGGACGGUCACACUGGGACUGAGACACGGCCCAGACUCCUACGGGAGGCAGCAGUGGGGAUUAUUGCACAAUGGGCGCAAGCCUGAUGCAGCGACGCCGCGUGAGGGAUGGAGGCCUUCGGGUUGUGAACCUCUUUCGCCAGUGAAGCAGGCCUGCCUCGUUUGUGGGUGGGUUGAUGGUAGCUGGAUAAGAAGCGCCGGCUAACUACGUG